This 254-nucleotide ribosomal RNA is filed under the name uncultured bacterium. Its description in RNAcentral is "partial 16S ribosomal RNA". It matches the Rfam family "Bacterial small subunit ribosomal RNA", at positions 524 to 776 of the family's 1533-position model. The record is from RNAcentral.
CACGUAGGGACCAAGCGUUGUCCGGAUUCAUUGGGCGUAAAGAGCUCGUAGGCGGUUCGAUAAGUCGGGUGUGAAACCUCCAGGCUCAACCUGGAGACGCCACCCGAUACUGUCGUGACUAGAGUCCAGUAGGGGAGCGUGGAAUUCCUGGUGUAGCGGUGAAAUGCGCAGAUAUCAGGAGGAACACCGAUGGCGAAGGCAGGUCUCUGGGCCGAUACUGACGCUGAGGCGCGAAAGCGUGGGGAGCAAACAGG